CACCGGUCUGCAAUUCCCAGCGAGAUUGAUGCAGAAGGCGGGUGAUUUCUGCACUUCCAACUGAGAUGGUGCUGUAAUGGAAAUCCUUUAUUUGUGACUCUUGUGGCCUUGUGUGAGAGUUUUUUCCUAAGAUGGACUACAGAGAACCAGAGAGAGUUUUAAAUGUCUUAUUACCAGAACUUAAAGACCUUUAAGCAGAUGCAUGUAAAAAAAUGAUGGUACUUGACAGUCCAGCUGCCACAAUGCUUUCAAAAAACUGGAUUUCUACUGGAUUCUUCAAGAUUACAAAGUUACAGCCUUAACAAACAGGUUGUGGACAAGGAAGACAAAGAGUGCAUGAACUGCCUGGUGAUGAAAGCCAUGGUGCAGUGGCGGCGGCGACUGCAACAAGACCCAGGCAGGAAAGGCGCGUGUGGUGUUGGGACCAGCAGACGGGCAGCCUCUGAGGCCAUUUUCUAUUUUUG
This 464-nucleotide long non-coding RNA is filed under the name Homo sapiens (human). RNAcentral's name for it is "PREDICTED lncRNA (TCONS_00084094)". The record is from RNAcentral. Lineage: Eukaryota; Metazoa; Chordata; Mammalia; Primates; Hominidae.